This 253-nucleotide ribosomal RNA is filed under the name uncultured bacterium. RNAcentral's name for it is "partial 16S ribosomal RNA". It matches the Rfam family "Bacterial small subunit ribosomal RNA", at positions 524 to 776 of the family's 1533-position model. The record is from RNAcentral.
UACGGAGGGAGCUAGCGUGGUUCGGAAUUACUGGGCGUAAAGCGUACGUAGGCGGCUAUUCAAGUCAGAGGUGAAAGCCCGGGGCUCAACCCCGGAACUGCCUUUGAAACUAGGUAGCUAGAGUCUUGGAGAGGUUAGUGGAAUUCCGAGUGUAGAGGUGAAAUUCGUAGAUAUUCGGAAGAACACCAGUGGCGAAGGCGACUAACUGGACAAGUACUGACGCUGAGGUACGAAAGCGUGGGGAGCAAACAGG